GAUGAACGCUGACGGCGUGCCUAAUACAUGCAAGUCGAGCGAACAGACGAGGAGCUUGCUCCUUUGACGUUAGCGGCGGACGGGUGAGUAACACGUAGGUAACCUACCUAUAAGACUGGGAUAACUUCGGGAAACCGGAGCUAAUACCGGAUAAUAUUUCGAACCGCAUGGUUCGAUAGUGAAAGAUGGCUUUGCUAUCACUUAUAGAUGGACCUGCGCCGUAUUAGCUAGUUGGUAAGGUAACGGCUUACCAAGGCAACGAUACGUAGCCGACCUGAGAGGGUGAUCGGCCACACUGGAACUGAGACACGGUCCAGACUCCUACGGGAGGCAGCAGUAGGGAAUCUUCCGCAAAGGGCGAAAGCCUGACGGAGCAACGCCGCGUGAGUGAUGAAGGUCUUCGGAUCGUAAAACUCUGUUAUUAGGGAAGAACAAACGUGUAAGUAACUGUGCACGUCUUGACGGUACCUAAUCAGAAAGCCACGGCUAACUACGUG
This 497-nucleotide ribosomal RNA is filed under the name uncultured bacterium. Its description in RNAcentral is "partial 16S ribosomal RNA". It matches the Rfam family "Bacterial small subunit ribosomal RNA", at positions 28 to 507 of the family's 1533-position model. The record is from RNAcentral.